This 940-nucleotide unclassified non-coding RNA is filed under the name Hevea brasiliensis (rubber tree). The record is from RNAcentral. Lineage: Eukaryota; Viridiplantae; Streptophyta; Magnoliopsida; Malpighiales; Euphorbiaceae.
GGACAAAUGAUCAUAAGAACAAAUGAGGAAAUAGGAUAAGUACAUUAACAUUUACCUUUCCGAAGAGUAAUAGGAAGAUCAAGACUAGGAUCAUGGUCACUUGAGACUGGAUCCGACAGUGAAGAGAUUGGUAAAGGACAUGUAUCAUGAGUCUCUGGUCGUCUGGAAUAGACAUGGACAAUAGGAGGCCGAGCGGGUAUCGGUGCAGGUGCAGGUGCAGGAACAUUUGGGGAAUUGACGGAAUAGGGUGUAGGAAUAUCUGGGGAACUGACAGAAUGGAUUAUAGUUUAAACCAAUGGAUUAUCUUCCUCCCCCUGACUGUCAUAAAUUAGAGGAUGAGGAAAAGAAAGGAUUAGUGGUCUUUAACGAAGCCCGAUACUAGCAGAAUUUGGCAUAUUCACCUGCAGGUGCUAGGAUAGUCUUACUUUCUGUCAUUGUCUAAACAAUAAUGUCAGCAAGUCACCAACCUCCACUUCAAAAUUAUGCAAGAGUACCUUCAAGGACUUGUCAAACGUGGCAGUAUCUCACUGGCUACACAGGAACUCAAUACAAAAGUGAUACCUAAAAUCUCUUCAAAAAGGUUGUUGGAGUAAAUGCAGCAACUAAAAAAGGUAACACUAGAUCCAAAAUUCCCAGAAGCAAACCCAGGAGCAACACACACCCAAUAGCAAAAGCAACAAUGUACUCUUCAAUGUACCAAUAAUAAUGCAGGAACAAAUUUAAAUGCCAAACAAUGGAACAAUGAGCAGAUCAUUAGAGUCUCAACUAAACAGAUCCUUAAAUCAAGUCACAUAAAACAAGGCACCAAAAAAUACCAAAGGUAGGUCUUACAAAACCACCUCUGAACACCAUCAAAUAAGACCUUGGUUCACACCAUUGUGCCGGAAGAGGAGUUGAUGGCGGAGAAGAAGCCGGAGCUCGAGUCGACACUGGACGCGCC